CGAGUCUUAACCGGGCGUUAAGUUGCAGGGUAUAGACCCGAAACCCGGUGAUCUAGCCAUGGGCAGGUUGAAGGUUGGGUAACACUAACUGGAGGACCGAACCGACUAAUGUUGAAAAAUUAGCGGAUGACCUGUGGCUGGGGGUGAAAGGCCAAUCAAACCGGGAGAUAGCUGGUUCUCCCCGAAAGCUAUUUAGGUAGCGCCUCGUGAAUUCAUCUCCGGGGGUAGAGCACUGUUUCGGCUAGGGGGCCAUCCCGGCUUACCAACCCGAUGCAAACUGCGAAUACCGGAGAAUGUUAUCACGGGAGACACACGGCGGGUGCUAACGUCCGUCGUGAAGAGGGAAACAACCCAGACCGCCAGCUAAGGUCCCAAAGUCAUGGUUAAGUGGGAAACGAUGUGGGAAGGCCCAGACAGCCAGGAUGUUGGCUUAGAAGCAGCCAUCAUUUAAAGAAAGCGUAAUAGCUCACUGGUCGAGUCGGCCUGCGCGGAAGAUGUAACGGGGCUAAACCAUGCACCGAAGCUGCGGCAGCGACGCUUAUGCGUUGUUGGGUAGGGGAGCGUUCUGUAAGCCUGCGAAGGUGGCCUGUGAGGGUUGCUGGAGGUAUCAGAAGUGCGAAUGCUGACAUAAGUAACGAUAAAGCGGGUGAAAAGCCCGCUCGCCGGAAGACCAAGGGUUCCUGUCCAACGUUAAUCGGGGCAGGGUGAGUCGACCCCUAAGGCGAGGCCGAAAGGCGUAGUCGAUGGGAAACGGGUUAAUAUUCCCGUACUUGGUGUUACUGCGAAGGGGGGACGGAGAAGGCUAUGUUGGCCGGGCGACGGUUGUCCCGGUUUAAGCGUGUAGGUGUGUGUUCCAGGUAAAUCCGGUUCACUUUAACACUGAGGCGUGACGACGAGGCACUACGGUGCUGAAGCAACAAAUGCCCUGCUUCCAGGAAAAGCCUCUAAGCAUCAGGUAACAUCAAAUCGUACCCCAAACCGACACAGGUGGU
RNAcentral lists this ribosomal RNA (992 nucleotides) under Salmonella enterica. RNAcentral's name for it is "partial 23S ribosomal RNA". It matches the Rfam family "Bacterial large subunit ribosomal RNA", at positions 678 to 1667 of the family's 2925-position model. The record is from RNAcentral. Lineage: Bacteria; Pseudomonadati; Pseudomonadota; Gammaproteobacteria; Enterobacterales; Enterobacteriaceae.